UCGAGAAUCUUCCGCAAUGGGCGAAAGCCUGACGGAGCAAUGCCGCGUGCAGGAUGAAGGCCUUCGGGUUGUAAACUGCUGUCACAGGGGAUGAAUAAAUUGACAGUACCCUGGGAGGAAGUCACGGCUAACUACGUGCCAGCAGCCGCGGUAAUACGUAGGUGACAAGCGUUGUUCGGAUUUAUUGGGCGUAAAGGGUUCGUAGGAGGUUAUGCAAGUUUGAUGUGAAAUCCCGUGGCUCAACUGCGGAACUGCAUUGAAGACUGUGUGACUAGAGUUUCAUAGAGGAGAGCGGAAUUCCUGGUGUAGCGGUGGAAUGCGUAGAUAUCAGGAAGAACACCGAAAGCGUAGGCAGCUCUCUGGGUGAAUACUGACUCUGAAGAACGAAAGCGUGGGUAGC
Molecule: ribosomal RNA, 400 nt
Filed under: uncultured bacterium
Lineage: Bacteria
Description: bacterial SSU rRNA
Rfam family: Bacterial small subunit ribosomal RNA
Source: RNAcentral